AACGCACAUUGCGCCCACUGGUAUUCCAGCGGGCAUGCCCGUUCGAGCGUCAUUUCAAUUCCUUCCCGGGGGACUCUUCUACUAAAUUUUUAGUGGAGUUUACCGGGGCGUUGGUACUGGGCGCCACCUUUUACUAGGAGGCGGCCGGAACCGAAAUAAAGUGGCGGACGCGCAGCGGCCCCUAGCGCAGUAGAACAUCCUUCUCGCUUGGGAGACCUGCAGCAGUGGACCAUAGCCCUAUAUAUACAAAGCUAUAUAUAAAACUUGACCUCGAAUCGGGUAGGACUACCCGCUGAACUUAA
RNAcentral lists this unclassified non-coding RNA (302 nucleotides) under uncultured Sordariomycetes. Its description in RNAcentral is "sequence contains 5.8S rRNA gene, ITS2, 28S rRNA gene". The record is from RNAcentral. Lineage: Eukaryota; Fungi; Ascomycota; Sordariomycetes.